Molecule: non-coding RNA, 70 nt
Organism: Dipodomys ordii (Ord's kangaroo rat)
Lineage: Eukaryota; Metazoa; Chordata; Mammalia; Rodentia; Heteromyidae
Source: Rfam
GGAAAUGUGGCUUAGUGGUAGAGUGCUUGCCUAGCAUGCAUGAAGCCCUGGGUUCGAUUCCUCAGUACUA